GCCUCUGUGGUGGAAUUGGUAGACACGGUAGAUUCAAAAUCUGCUGUCCUUCGGACGUGCCAGUUCGAGUCUGGCCAGAGGUACCA
Molecule: transfer RNA, 86 nt
Filed under: Hyphomicrobiales bacterium
Lineage: Bacteria; Pseudomonadati; Pseudomonadota; Alphaproteobacteria; Hyphomicrobiales
Also listed under: 3 other names
Description: tRNA-Leu
Rfam family: tRNA
About the family: Transfer RNA (tRNA) molecules are approximately 80 nucleotides in length. Their secondary structure includes four short double-helical elements and three loops (D, anti-codon, and T loops).
Source: RNAcentral